Molecule: unclassified non-coding RNA, 246 nt
Filed under: uncultured Lyophyllum
Lineage: Eukaryota; Fungi; Basidiomycota; Agaricomycetes; Agaricales; Lyophyllaceae
Description: partial contains 5.8S ribosomal RNA, internal transcribed spacer 2, and large subunit ribosomal RNA
Rfam family: 5.8S ribosomal RNA (bases 1-52)
Source: RNAcentral
AACGCACAUUGCGCUCGCUGGUAUUCCGGCGAGCAUGCCUGUUUGAGUAUCAUUAACACCACAUUCAUCUUUUUUGAUGAGAUUUGAGUUUUGCACUGCAAAGUGAAACUUGCAAUACAUGUCUCAGUAAGGCGAACACCUCACUUUCUUUUCCUGAAAGCUUUCAUGCCAGAGAAGUGUGUGCGCUCGCUCUACCAACAACAUCUUAUGAAUCUCAAAUCAGGCAAGACUACCCGCCGAACUUAA